GGAGAGAUGGCUGAGUGGACUAAAGCGGCG
RNAcentral lists this non-coding RNA (30 nucleotides) under Mus musculus (house mouse). RNAcentral also lists the same sequence under 20 other names. Lineage: Eukaryota; Metazoa; Chordata; Mammalia; Rodentia; Muridae. The record is from RNAcentral.